GCGUUAGUAGUUCAACUGGAUAGAAUAUCAGAUUUCGGCUCUGAGGGUUGAGGGUUCGAAUCCUUCCUAACGCACUA
RNAcentral lists this transfer RNA (77 nucleotides) under Flammeovirgaceae bacterium. RNAcentral describes it as "tRNA-Arg". It matches the Rfam family "tRNA". From Rfam's summary of the family: Transfer RNA (tRNA) molecules are approximately 80 nucleotides in length. Their secondary structure includes four short double-helical elements and three loops (D, anti-codon, and T loops). Further hydrogen bonds mediate the characteristic L-shaped molecular structure. tRNAs have two regions of fundamental functional importance: the anti-codon, which is responsible for specific mRNA codon recognition, and the 3' end, to which the tRNAs corresponding amino acid is attached (by aminoacyl-tRNA synthetases). tRNAs cope with the degeneracy of the genetic code in two manners: having more than one tRNA (with a specific anti-codon) for a particular amino acid; and 'wobble' base-pairing, i.e. permitting non-standard base-pairing at the 3rd anti-codon position. Lineage: Bacteria; Pseudomonadati; Bacteroidota; Cytophagia; Cytophagales; Flammeovirgaceae. The record is from RNAcentral.